AUGGCGGGUGUGGAGGAGGCAGCGGCCUCGGGAGCCACCUGAAUGGUGACUUGGAUGCAGAUGACAGGGAGGAGGAAGCUGCCUCUAUGGCUGAAGAAGCAGCCAAGAAAAAAAGAUGGAAGAAGAAGAAGAGUAAAGGGGCUGCUGCAGUAGGGCAACAAGAACCUGAUAAAGAAUCAGGAGCCUCAGUGGAUGAGGUAGCAAGAAAUUGGAAAAACAAGCAUUGGAAGAAAAAAAGAAAGAGAUGAUGAUGAUGAAGAUGGAGAUGGUGAUGGGGAUGGAGCAACUGGAAAGAAGAAGAAGAAAGAAGAAGAAGAAGAAGGAUCAAAAGUUCAAACAGACCCUUCCUCAGUUCCAAUAUGUGACCUGUAUCCCAAUGGUGUAUUUCCCAAAGGACAAGAGUGAGAAUAUCCACCCACACAAGAUGGGCAAACAGCUGCUUGGAGAACUACAAGUGAAGAAAAGAAAGCCUUAGAUCAGGCCAGUGAAGAGAUUUGGAAUGAUUUUCGAGAAGCUGCAGAAGCACAUCGACAAGUUAGAAAAUAUGUUAUAAGUUGGAUCCAGCCUGGGAUGACAAUGAUAGAAAUCUGUGAAAAGUUAGAAGACUGUUUACGCAAAUUGAUAAAAGAGAAUGGAUUAAAUGCAGGCCUGGCAUUUCCUACUGGGUGUUCUCUCAAUAAUUGUGCUGCCCAUUAUACUCCCAAUGCUGGUGACACAACAGUAUUACAGUAUAAUGACAUCUGUAAGAUAGAUUUUGGAACAUGCAUAAGUGGUAGGAUUAUUGACUGUGCUUUUACUGUCACUUUUAAUCCCAAAUAUGAUACAUUAUUAAAAACUGUAAAGGAUGCUAGUAAUACUGGAAUAAAGUGUGCUGGAAUUGAUGUUCGUCUAUGUGAACAUCAUAGACGUUGGGGAGGCCAUCUAAGAAGUUAUGGAAUCCUAUGAAGUUGAAAUAGAUGGGAAGACAUAACAAGUGAAACCAAUCCGUAAUCUGAAUGGACAUUCAAUUGGGCAGUAUAGAAUACAUGCUGGGAAAACAGUGCCCAUGGUGAAAGGAGAGGCAACAAGAAUGGAAGAAGGAAAAGUGUAUGCAAUUGAACCUUUUGGUAGUACAGGAAAAGGUGUUGUUCAUGAUGACAUGGAAUGUUCACAUUACGUGAAAAAUUUUGAUGUUGGACAUGUGCCGAUAAGGCUUCGGCACCCUUGCCUUCUGCCGCAGAUGGCUUGAUCGCUUAGGAGAAAGUAAAUAUUUAAUGGCUCUGAAGAAUCUGUGUGACUCGGGCAUUGUAGAUCCAUAUCCACCAUUAUGUGACAUUAAAGGAUCAUGUACAGCACAGUUUGAACAUACCAUACUGUUGCGUCCAACAUGCAAAGAAGUUGUCAGCAGAGGAGAUGACUAUUAAACUUAGUCCAAAGCCACCUCAACAUCUUUAUUUUCUAAGCUUUGUUGGAAUACAUUAUACUAGAAUUAAUUUGCAACAUGUUGUCUGUUUUAACCGUGGACCUUUGUAAUACUUUUUAUUCAUGUUAAAAAAGAAGGAAUUUGAUCAAAGGCAAACGGUCUAAUUAACCAAGGAAAAAGCUUUCAGGACUUUUCAAAUGUUAACUGUUUUACUUUCUCCUGUCUAGGAAAUGCUAUAAAGCUUAAAUUAGUUAGGAAUGACUUAAACAUUUUGUUUUGAACAUCUAAGGGAUGCUUUUUGGAUGUUUAUAUUGCCAUAUUCUUACUUGAAUGCUUUGAAUGACUACAUCCAAUUCUGCAUCUAUACUCUCUGGUAUUGCUUUUUAACCUUCCUGGAAUCCAUUUUCUAAAAAAAAUAAAGACAUUUUCAGAUCUGA
Nycticebus coucang (slow loris) is the source of this 1839-nucleotide RNA transcript. It is a transcript of the gene named methionine aminopeptidase 2-like, with no coding region annotated. The transcript is spliced from 2 exons. NCBI's taxonomy places the organism in Eukaryota, Metazoa, Chordata, Mammalia, Primates, Lorisidae. The record is from RefSeq and is a predicted model, not a curated record.